RNAcentral lists this ribosomal RNA (964 nucleotides) under Clostridioides difficile. Its description in RNAcentral is "partial 23S ribosomal RNA". It matches the Rfam family "Bacterial large subunit ribosomal RNA", at positions 1288 to 2261 of the family's 2925-position model. Lineage: Bacteria; Bacillati; Bacillota; Clostridia; Peptostreptococcales; Peptostreptococcaceae. The record is from RNAcentral.
GUGAGAAUGUUGGCAUGAGUAGCGAGAUGUGGGUGAGAAUCCCACAGGCCGUAAACCCAAGGUUUCCAGGGGAAGGUUCGUCCGCCCUGGGUUAGUCGGGACCUAAGCUGAGGCCGAAAGGCGUAGGUGAUGGACAACAGGUUGAUAUUCCUGUACUACCGAUAACCGUUUGAGAGAAGGGAUGACACAGUAGGAUAAGCUAAGCACACUGUUGGUUAUGUGUGCCCAAGCAUUGAGGCAGUCAAAGUAGGCAAAUCCGCUUUGAUAAUGCUGGGAUGUGAUGGGGAGCGAAAUUUAGUAGCGAAGUAGCUGAUUUCACACUGUCAAGAAAAGUCUCUAUCGAGGUUAAAGGUACCCGUACCGCAAACCGACACAGGUGGGUGAGGAGAGUAUCCUAAGGCCAGCGAGAGAACUGUUGUUAAGGAACUCGGCAAAAUGACCCCGUAACUUAGGGAUAAGGGGUGCCACCAUCAGGUGGCCGCAGAGAAUAGGCCCAAGCGACUGUUUACCAAAAACAUAGGUUUCUGCUAAGUCGCAAGACGAUGUAUAGGAGCUGACGCCUGCCCGGUGCUGGAAGGUUAAGGGGAUCUGUUAGAGCAAUCGAAGCAGUGAACUUAAGCCCCAGUAAACGGCGGCCGUAACUAUAACGGUCCUAAGGUAGCGAAAUUCCUUGUCGGGUAAGUUCCGACCCGCACGAAAGGCGUAACGAUUUGGGCACUGUCUCAACAACAGACUCGGUGAAAUUGUAAUUCCGGUGAAGAUGCCGGAUACCUGCGACAGGACGGAAAGACCCCAUGGAGCUUUACUGUAGCUUGACAUUGGGUCUUGGUACUACAUGUACAGGAUAGGUGGGAGGCUUUGAAACCAGGACGCCAGUUUUGGCGGAGCCAUCCUUGGGAUACCACCCUUGUAGUACUGGGACUCUAACCAUAGGCCAUGAAUCUGGUCUUGGGACACUGUCAGG